RNAcentral lists this ribosomal RNA (465 nucleotides) under Vreelandella stevensii. Its description in RNAcentral is "partial 16S ribosomal RNA". It matches the Rfam family "Bacterial small subunit ribosomal RNA", at positions 338 to 795 of the family's 1533-position model. Lineage: Bacteria; Pseudomonadati; Pseudomonadota; Gammaproteobacteria; Oceanospirillales; Halomonadaceae. The record is from RNAcentral.
CCUACGGAAGGCUGCAGUGGGGAAUAUUGGACAAUGGGGGGAACCCUGAUCCAGCCAUGCCGCGUGUGUGAAGAAGGCCCUCGGGUUGUAAAGCACUUUCAGUGAGGAAGAACGCCUGGUGGUUAAUACCCAUCAGGAAAGACAUCACUCACAGAAGAAGCACCGGCUAACUCCGUGCCAGCAGCCGCGGUAAUACGGAGGGUGCGAGCGUUAAUCGGAAUUACUGGGCGUAAAGCGCGCGUAGGUGGCUUGAUAAGCCGGUUGUGAAAGCCCCGGGCUCAACCUGGGAACGGCAUCCGGAACUGUCAAGCUAGAGUGCAGGAGAGGAAAGUAGAAUUCCCGGUGUAGCGGUGAAAUGCGUAGAGAUCGGGAGGAAUACCAGUGGCGAAGGCGGCCUUCUGGACUGACACUGACACUGAGGUGCGAAAGCGUGGGUAGCAAACAGGAUUAGAUACCCUUGUAGUC